RNAcentral lists this ribosomal RNA (245 nucleotides) under uncultured archaeon. RNAcentral describes it as "partial 16S ribosomal RNA". It matches the Rfam family "Archaeal small subunit ribosomal RNA", at positions 474 to 719 of the family's 1478-position model. The record is from RNAcentral.
UACCAGCCCCCUGAGUGGUAGGGACGAUUAUUUGGCCUAAAGCGUCCGUAGCCUGCUUAGUAAGUCUUUCGUUAAAUCUAACGAUUCAAUCGUUAGACCGCGUAAGAUACUGCUAGGCUAGAGGAUGGGAGAGGUCGACGGUAGUCCUGGGGUAGGGGUGAAAUCCUAUAAUCCCAGGAGGACCACCAGUGGCGAAGGCGGUCGACUAGAACAUGCCUGACGGUGAGGGACGAAAGCUGGGGGAG